Nicotiana sylvestris (wood tobacco) is the source of this 51-nucleotide non-coding RNA. NCBI's taxonomy places the organism in Eukaryota, Viridiplantae, Streptophyta, Magnoliopsida, Solanales, Solanaceae. The record is from Rfam.
CGAUCGGCUCUAUCUGCUAUGGAGCCACCUAUAUUCAUUUAAAAAUAUAGU